GGAAGGAUCAUUAACACGAAACUUCUGUUUCAAAACCCGCUGUGCACCCUUUGAAAAAAAAUCUUUGUCCUUUCGGUUGACCUGGUCUGGCUAUAUACGAUAAUUAUGCGUCUCUGUGAAGAUUGGCGUAUUUUUGUUAGAAGGCCGGACUACGAGCGAAGUAAAAAUCUAGCUCAAGGGAGGGUUCCAGAGUGUUGAUAUGUACUGUAAGACUAACGGUUCGCCGCCGGUCGAUAAAGCGAUGUCCACGAAAGAAUCUAACGAUAGGCUAAGGCAUACAUUUUCACACCAUAUUAAUUCGUGUACCAUCCCAUUGGGUCAUCGGCUCAAUGGUGCGCUGAUUUCAAAUGUAAAUUCUUUUACGAAAGUAAAGGAGUUUUCGAGAGAAAGUUUAAUAUACAAUUGUACAACUCUUAGCAACGGAUAUCUUGGUUCUCGCAACGAUGAAGAACGCAGCGAAAUGCGAUACGUAAUGCGAAUUGCAGAAUUCAGUGAAUCAUCAAAUCUUUGAACGCAAAUUGCGCUCUUGGGAAUCCCUGAGAGCACACCUCUUCGAGUAUCCGUUUUACAUCAAAUCGACAGCGUUCUUUUUUGAACGUGGUUCGGAUAUUGAGUGUCAUGGCGUGGUUGCAAUGUCACUUUAAGAUUCUUGGAAAGAAUUGGUCUUUCAACAAUGUGGCGGUUCCAACAGGUUGACGGCUCUGGGUUUUCCGUUAACUUGAAGGGCUGUGACAUAGAUAUAGGAGUUUUCUGACUUUUCUGCGUCGUUGCACCAAAGUUAGUUACUCUAAAGUCUAUGUUAGCGGUAACGUUUAAUGUUGUUUGAUUGUUGCCUUUUCGGUCCGACUUGGGGUAGAGCUUGCUCUAUACAAACUGAAACAUCAAGAUCUCGAAUGAAGUGAGACAACCCGCCGAAUUUAAGCAUAUUAGUAAGCGGAGGAAAAGAAACUAACAAGGAUGCCCCUAGUAACGGCGAGUGAAGCGGGCAAAGCUCAAUUUGUAAAUCGGAUUGGUUUACCAGUUCGAGUUGUAGUCUCGAGACGAUUGGACCGUGGUGACCCGGGUUUAAAUCUUUUUGGAACAAGGUAUCAUAGAGGGUGAGAAUCCCGUUUAUGACCCGAAGCUCACUACUUACGUCCGGCGUUCAAAGAGUCGUGUUGAUUGGGAUCUCAGCACUAAAUGGGAGGUAAGUUUCUUCUAAAGCUAAAUAUUGGCGAGAGACCGAUAGCGAACAAGUACCGUGAGGGAAAGAUGAAAAGAACUUUGAAAAGAGAGUAAAAUAGUACUUGAAAUUGCUAAGAGGGAAGCACUGGAAACCAGUCUAACCUUGGGAGAAUCUCUCGUUAUCUUGGUUACAAGUCUGCCUUGGUGUGACUUCAAACGCAUGCUGGGAACAGAGGAGUGAUCAAGGUGGUGUCUGUCUCUUGAGGUGGGUCAGGAUCAACUAGGCUCGCGGGAGAAAACAGGAUGAUCGUUUGAGAGCUCUCACGGGGGUUCUUAAAGUUCGCUUGCUAUACCGUGGGGGCUGGUUGAGGUUAUUGACAAAAUGCGUUGCUCUGAGGAGUGGCCGUCGCGCCCGGACCCAUGAAGCACUCAAAAGGGUGUGAAGUUGGACCGAAAGCGUGAACUGCAUUUUCGCGAUCCUGACGAAAUGGUUUUUCAUUGACCCGUCUUGAAACACGGACCAAGGAGUCUAACAUAUGUGCGAGUAUUUGGGUGAUUAAAACCCUGAUGCGUAAUGAAAGUGAAUGUCAACCUAGUUGGCUUUGGUAGGAAUCUUUCCUUUGGGGGAGAGGCACUAUCGACCGAUCCGUGCUUGCACAGGAUUUGAGUAAGAGCAUAUCUGUUGGGACCCGAAAGAUGGUGAUCUAUGCCUGAACAGGGUGAAGCCAGGGGAAACUCUGGUGGAGGCUCGUAGCGAUACUGACGUGCAAAUCGUUCGUCUGAUUUGGGUAUAGGGGCGAAAGACUAAUCGAACCAUCUAGUAGCUGGUUCCCUC
Molecule: unclassified non-coding RNA, 1999 nt
Filed under: uncultured fungus
Lineage: Eukaryota; Fungi
Description: sequence contains 18S rRNA gene, ITS1, 5.8S rRNA gene, ITS2, 28S rRNA gene
Rfam family: Eukaryotic large subunit ribosomal RNA (bases 885-1999)
Source: RNAcentral